RNAcentral lists this ribosomal RNA (377 nucleotides) under uncultured bacterium. RNAcentral describes it as "bacterial SSU rRNA". It matches the Rfam family "Bacterial small subunit ribosomal RNA", at positions 131 to 507 of the family's 1533-position model. The record is from RNAcentral.
UUCGAGCGGGGAAUAGCCCAGAGAAAUUUGGAUUAAUACCCAUAGUAUAGCGGAGAGGCAUCUCUCUGUUUAUUAAAGAUUUAUCACUUGAAGAUGGCUGUGCGGCUGAUUAGGUAGUUGGCGGGGUAACGGCCACCAAGCCUGCGAUCAGUAACUGGUGUGAGAGCACGACCAGUCACACGGGCACUGAGACACGGGCCCGACUCCUACGGGAGGCAGCAGUAAGGAAUAUUGGUCAAUGGACGAAAGUCUGAACCAGCCAUGCCGCGUGGAGGAUGAAGGUCCUCUGGAUUGUAAACUUCUUUUAUAUGGGACGAAAAAAGGUCUUUCUAGAUCGUCUGACGGUACCAUAUGAAUAAGCACCGGCUAACUCCGUG